UGCACAUUGAGGUACACUAGUCGGAGAA
RNAcentral lists this small RNA (28 nucleotides) under Bombyx mori (domestic silkworm). RNAcentral's name for it is "ovarian small RNA-33442". The record is from RNAcentral. Lineage: Eukaryota; Metazoa; Arthropoda; Insecta; Lepidoptera; Bombycidae.